UAAAAAGUUUUUUUUUUUUUUUUGAGAAAAAGGUAGCACGCUACCUGCUUCAUUCAUUAAUAAAAUGAAAUUAGCUACAUAGAGUGAGACAGCCAGGGUUUCUAAAGAAGAAGCGAGAAAAAAGAAGGAAAAAUACAAAAAAGAAAAAGAAAAGGAAUCAGAUCAGACGUCACCUAGCUCUACAGGCCUCGGCCCACUCUUUUGCCAACAUGCCAAUAAGACUAGUUGUUCGAGAAAUAUUGGUGGGCUCUUUUGCCAACACGCUAAAAACAAAUUUUAUUUUUACCGUGGGACCUUUUAGUUUG
This 305-nucleotide long non-coding RNA is filed under the name Ananas comosus (pineapple). Its description in RNAcentral is "long non-coding RNA (ACOM_LNC005179)". The record is from RNAcentral. Lineage: Eukaryota; Viridiplantae; Streptophyta; Magnoliopsida; Poales; Bromeliaceae.